UCUCUCUCUCCAAGACUUCAUUCUCCAUUUUCUGUGAUCCCAUACCGGUUGUCUAGGUUGGGGCUUUCUCCAGUUGCAGGUGUUCCUCUCACAGCCACUGGGCCAGAUAACAAAUGUGAGACUGACUUUAAAGACUUGUGGUGAAGUCUCUCACAUGAGAUGUGAGAAAACCAAGCUUAAGGGAUUUGAGCCUGGACAAGAUAAGACCAGGGAGUAGAAACAGGCCUUCCUGAGUAUACCUCUGGGACUAUGCUACCCACUAACAUCAAACAAACUGGGAUUUAGCAGCUCUGGAAAGGGGAAGAAGGUGGUAAAGGGACACUUUUCUAUUUACCCAAAGGGGAUUAGAAACUUCAGAAAAUGACAGAAAUCUGUUCUUUACAAAAACUUCCAAAUAAAAACAUUUUCCAAAACAUUUGAGAAACUUCACAAUUUUCUUCUGCUGCCUUUCUUCCUCCAGCUCUGACACAGAUGGACAAGCUGAUGCCCCAAACGUUUAAGUGAUGGUCCCAAGAUCAGAGUGAAAGAAAGUGGCUGUGUGUGACGGGCCAUCACUGCACCAGGGGGAGGCCGGCUGGAGCCACCCCCCACCGGGAACCGGCGGCCAGCCCCGAGCCCCCCAGCGUUACCCCGGCGUAAGC
This is a non-coding RNA of Pelodiscus sinensis (Chinese soft-shelled turtle), 641 nucleotides long. Lineage: Eukaryota; Metazoa; Chordata; Testudines; Trionychidae. The record is from RefSeq and is a predicted model, not a curated record.